Molecule: ribosomal RNA, 274 nt
Filed under: uncultured bacterium
Lineage: Bacteria
Description: partial 16S ribosomal RNA
Rfam family: Bacterial small subunit ribosomal RNA
Source: RNAcentral
AUACGGAGGGUGCAAGCGUUAAUCGGAAUUACUGGGCGUAAAGCGCGCGUAGGCGGCUUGAUAAGUCGGAUGUGAAAUCCCCGGGCUUAACCUGGGAAUUGCAUUCGAUACUGUCAGGCUAGAGUGUGGUAGAGGGAAGUGGAAUUUCCGGUGUAGCGGUGUAAUGCGUAGAUAUCGGAAAGAACAUUAGUGGCGAAGGCGGCUUCCUGGAUCAACACUGACGCUGAGGUGCGAAAGCGUGGGGAGCAAACAGGAUUAGAUACCCCAGUAGUCC